UCCCACAUAGCUCAGUCGAUAAAGCAUCUGCCUGCCACGCGGGAGACCUGGGUUCAAUUCCUGGGUUGGGAA
Molecule: transfer RNA, 72 nt
Filed under: Bos taurus (domestic cattle)
Lineage: Eukaryota; Metazoa; Chordata; Mammalia; Artiodactyla; Bovidae
Also listed under: 2 other names
Rfam family: tRNA
About the family: Transfer RNA (tRNA) molecules are approximately 80 nucleotides in length. Their secondary structure includes four short double-helical elements and three loops (D, anti-codon, and T loops).
Source: Rfam by way of RNAcentral